GACGAACGCUGGCGGCGCGCUUAACACAUGCAAGUCGAGCGAGAACCAGCCCUUCGGGGCUGGGGACAGCGGCGAACGGGUGAGUAACACGUGGGUAAUCUGCCCUCGGCACCGGGAUAGCCCGGGGAAACCCGGAUUAAUACCGGAUGGCCUUUCGAGCCCUCGGGCUUGAGAGAAAAGGUAGCUUUGGCCUCUGGCCGAGGAUGAGCCCGCGGCCGAUUAGCUUGUUGGUGAGGUAAUGGCCCACCAAGGCGACGAUCGGUAGCUGGUCUGAGAGGACGAUCAGCCACACUGGGACUGAGACACGGCCAGACUCCUACGGGAGGCAGCAGGUGGGGAAUCUUGCGCAAUGGGCGAAAGCCUGACGCAGCGA
This 373-nucleotide ribosomal RNA is filed under the name uncultured bacterium. RNAcentral's name for it is "bacterial SSU rRNA". It matches the Rfam family "Bacterial small subunit ribosomal RNA", at positions 28 to 394 of the family's 1533-position model. The record is from RNAcentral.